CAAAUGGCAUGGUUAGAGAAGUACUACUUGUCUACAUGCUUUAGGAAUAUGUUGUCUACUUUCUGGUGCACCACAAGCUUUAUUGCCACCAUUUCUCUUAUUAUUUGUGCUGGAUUUUAAUUCAUAGUUUAGAUCACAUUUCUGCAGCUUUCCAGCACUGAUUGGUGUCAGUGAAACAGCAAAAGAGAGAGAGAGAGAGAGAGAGAGAGAGAGAGAGAGAGAGGCAAAAGCUGGUUACUGACAGCUUUGCUGCAUCAAAACUGAGAGGAAGAGAUUACAAACACGCACUGCGGCACUUAUUAGAUCAGACACGUACGAUUCAGAGAUUGGCGUCCGUGGAUCCACGCCUCUCACUGUCAGUCUCCCUUGGCUUCCUUCUCCUUGGGCUUGUUGCUCUUCUUCGUCUUCAUGAAGCAGAAGCAGGAGCAGCACGGGCACUGGAACAAGAACUUCAUGAUGGCGAUGCCGUGCACCUCAGGUGCAGCACUCACAGCUCUGUGCUCCGAUGGUGGAACAACGACCUCGCUCUUCCACCUUAUCCUCCUCUCUUUAUUAAAUCGACUCGCAUCAAUUCCAUCCGCGUCACUUCCAGAAGGAAGAUGCCCAUGACCGCACUCAAAAGUCACCUCCUCUUCGAUUCUUCCAAAUGGUGGGUCAUCUCCUCCUUUCUGAACCGCUGCUGCUGGUUCAAGUAACCCUACGUUGGGUUAGUCUUUGAAUCACACGGCAUUACUUUUUCUCCAGAGCCAGCGGCAAGCAUUCUUUUCCCCGGCAACAACAGCUGCACCACCAACAACAGUCAUCAUUCAUCUUAAGAUUCUCUCGGCCCACGGAUAAGAUCACGUCGACCCCAUCCGUAGCAACUUCUAUCUUACUUACUGUCUGGAAGAGUCGAAGCGGUGUGGGACACAGGUCAGCAUGUGCUUCCGUCUCUUUUGUCUCGGCAGAAUCUUCCAUGGGAGGGGCAUGGCCACCGUUCUUUGGCCGAGAAAAGGGUUUAUAACGUGGAAGAAGACGCACAUGGACGGCUUGUCAAUCGGUACUCCCUGUCUCCCAUGGUGAGUUGCUUGGCCUUACGAGUGCAUGUUGCUGUGGUAGUUCUACUUUCACUGCACGUUGAUGCUCUCUGUUGGUGAACCGAUACAUCGUUGUUGAUGAGUCAUUACGGCCUGAUUCACGGGUCAACGUUAGGAGUCUUCGACGAGGUCGAUCGCGUCCUCCAGAUGUGGGUGCCGUCGUAAUGUGGAUUAGCGUCUCUCGAUCUGGAUGUUCACACCGGGGGUGAUCGCUUUCAUGCACAUAAGGCCCUCGUCAGGUCGUUAUCGACUGUGACCCCUCGACAAGUAAGUCAGUGUGAGUUUCUCUCUCUCUCUUUCCGUCCCCCUGGCCAAAUGUCGGUCAAGGAUUUUUAUAUUACUGUUCGAGGGUCGAUCGUAUGCAGAUUUUAGUGUAGCAAUCGGUCCUCGAGGGGUGAGGAUGUACCUUAGCGUGGCGUCGGCCCGGGACGUACGAAACGAAACGAUACCAUGCAGCGCCAUCCCAAGCUUUCUAAGACGGGACGUACCGAGGAAUGCCUCGAUACGAAUCCUGGCUUGGCACGUGGGAAUACUCUGCUUAUUGACCCGAUGGUGGCGUGGCGUGGCGUUAGCGAUGAGCGAUGAGGUAGCCAGAGCCCAAAAUAUAAUUUAUCACUCUCUUCUUUCAGUAAUUGCAGAUCCUGUAAUGUCUUCAUUUUA
Musa acuminata AAA Group (dessert banana) is the source of this 1736-nucleotide long non-coding RNA. RefSeq lists it as uncharacterized. The record is from RefSeq and is a predicted model, not a curated record. The transcript has 2 exons. NCBI's taxonomy places the organism in Eukaryota, Viridiplantae, Streptophyta, Magnoliopsida, Zingiberales, Musaceae.